UUGUUUGUUUUCCAACUUUGCAUUUGAUUUCUCACCUCAGGUUAGUAAUUUGUCCAACUGUUUUGGCAGAUCUUAUGAGAACAGAGCAGAGAAAUAUGUGUGAAUCAGCUGUUUGGUGCUUGACGAACUGACCAGCUUUUCGCCUUCAGAAAGUACGAGUUGUGUACAAAAAGAUAAAGACAGAGAAAACAGCACUUUGGCCUUCACAGAGACUGGAAGAGACAAGUGCCUGUGGCGUUGUGUUUGGACACACCCACGGAGUGGACUCUGUUCGGCCGAAAGAAAAGGUCACAGAAAUGUCAUGCAGUCAUGUCCUUGAGACGAGGUGGAAGAGAUGCGAUUGGGCCCGGACCCGUCAUCAUCAAGGAGACAGGUGGCCAAGGAGGAAUCGGUCACUAAUGCGGUCGGCUAACUGUGUCAAGGACGUAGAACCCAAACCUGGUACAGUUCACCUGUGAGAGACCUGAGAGCACGAACGCAGAGAGGAACUGACCCACUAAACCAACUUACAACUCUACAGUCUGCACUCUUCUUGAAAUUAAAGCAGUGGGAGACUGAUGAGUCCACCUGGACUCCCUGGUGUGUGAGAUGUCCCUGUGAGAGUGAAACACACCGUCCAUUCCGCCUCACUAAGUGUGUGUUUGGAGUCAGAGGCACAAUCCACGCUGCUGUGCCCACAGAUGGUCACACUACAGGAGCAACAUUUUGUUCUGUCUCCCAAUGGUGAGAAAGAGAAGGAAAA
Carassius auratus (goldfish) is the source of this 742-nucleotide long non-coding RNA. RefSeq lists it as uncharacterized. The transcript has 4 exons. NCBI's taxonomy places the organism in Eukaryota, Metazoa, Chordata, Actinopteri, Cypriniformes, Cyprinidae. The record is from RefSeq and is a predicted model, not a curated record.